Molecule: long non-coding RNA, 2937 nt
Filed under: Ananas comosus (pineapple)
Lineage: Eukaryota; Viridiplantae; Streptophyta; Magnoliopsida; Poales; Bromeliaceae
Description: long non-coding RNA (ACOM_LNC012614)
Source: RNAcentral
AAAGUUGGUGCUGUGAGACUUGAUUGCGAUAUAUAAUAUAGAAAAUUUAAAUCAAAAAUUAUAAUAAAUUAAAGUUUGAGAAUUAAAAUGUCACACACGACGUAUAGUUCGAGGACCAAAAGUGCAAACUACAUGCAUGCAUGUACAUACAUGCUCACAAUAUUCUUUUUGAAUGUCAAAUAAUUGAGUACAUAUGAUUCUAUGGCUUGAGUUUAUAGCUUAAGAUGGGUCCCUUAUCAUCAUUUCCAUCUAUCAAAACCCCUAACUAUUAUCCUACACACAUUUAGAACAUUAGGGGCAUUGCAAAAUUCUCCACAUGUAUGAUUAAUUAUUCAAUCAUCGAUCCUGGUGGGAUUCAAACUCAGAAAUAUCCCUUUUUUUGUACCACGUGAAAUAAUCGAUUACUCUAAAAGCAAAUUAAUUGCUUGAGAUGGUGUUUUUGACCGUUCACAUACACCGAGCAACACGUACACGGAAAAAAAAGAAAGAAAUUGAAUGAGGACCACCUCAUUUUUCACAGGGUAUACGAGAUUACUAAAUAGCCCGUCACGCCAUCUGAGCGAGAUCUCGUUAAGGCGCUCCUCAGAGAAGUCGUGCUCCGAGUGUAGAACUAUUACUCCCGUCAUAUAUCAUGACUACAGUACAUGUACGAUUAAUUAUCCAAUCAUCAAGUGAGAUUCAAACUCGGAAAUAUCCCCUAUUUUUGUACCACGUGAAAUAAUCGAUUACUCUAAAAGCAAAUUAAUUGCUUGAGAUGGUGUUUUUGAUCGUUCACAUACACCGAGCAACAUGUACACGGGAAAAAAAGAAAGAAAUUGAAUGAGGACCACCUCAUUUUUCACAGGGUAUACAAGAUUACUGAAUAGCCCGUCACACCAUCUGAGCGAGAUCUCGUUAAGACGCUCCUCAGCGAAGUCGCGCUCCCAUCAUAUAUGGAUACAGUACAUAACCAGGUGCCUUGGAUCCUCUUUUAACAAAGAGAAGGGCAGACAGUACUAGUGGCUUGCUAAAAGUGAUGCUAUUCUGGUCUGUCAUCUCUGAAACAAGGCUGGACAGAUUAGGGCCCUGCUCAAGGAAUAUAACUACUCAUGCAUGCCAUGGGUCCCCAUCUUUUCAAUUAUUACAAUUCGGUCCCUAACCUUCGCUUUUUUAUUAAAUGGAAAUGGCCUUAUAUUAUACAUACAUGAAAAUAGUGUUUUUAUGUUAUGUUUACUGUCUCUCUCAUGUUUGGACUCAAAACUUGUCACAAUAAGCAUAAGACGCGGGCUUAAAUUGAAAUGAGAGAAAAUUAAAUUAGAUCAGAAGUUUUUAACUCUAUCGUACGAAAUAAUUAUUUUUAGCAUUUUAAUCUGUUUAAAUAAAAAAUUAAUUCGCUUCAAAAAAGAGAGGGAGAAAAUUCUCAUCCUUUCUUAGCAUCUGAUAAUAAUAGAAGAUGCUGCAUAUAUAUCUUAUUAUUAAUUUCUAUAAAAGAUUGUGAACAUUUGAAGAUGACAAUUUCCUUUCUUAUUCUUUCAAUCCAAAACAAUCAAAAAGAUCAGAGAAUUUUACUGUUAUGGAGGCUUCUUACACAUUCAGUGAAAUGAAACCUUAUUUAAUCCUGCAUGUUUUUCUCCAUGUAUGAAGCUUCAAACAUGAUGUAAAAGAAAACAAAAAGAAAUAUUCAUUGUUUGCUGCUUUUUAUAGGGGGGAAAAAUGGUCAAAAAAACUUCACAGUUUGAGCAAUUGGGACUUGGUUAUAAUUUUGAAAGAUAUAAUUCCCAGAUCCUCAUAUGUGUAUGAACACUUAAAAUUACAAAUCUAUUUUUUUUAAGAAAAAGAAGGGGAAAAAAAAAAGCCAUUGAGUUGGUGGUUUCAGAGUCCACCAAGUACCAACUACCCUCAUUUAUUAUGCAUUUACACAACAACACAAAUAGUGAAACAGUGAAUUAAAACACAAGCACACACUUUUCCUACUUCCUUAUUAAAUUCUUUCUUUAGAUCUCUCAAAUAAUAAAAAAAAUAAAAAAAAAAGUUGACUAUCCAUAUUCACAUCUACAAAAGUGAAUGAUCACAAGUACUACAACAUCAAAAUAAAAAAAAAAAACCCACAAAAACAAAUAAUAAUACAAGCAAUCAAAAUGCUACACGUACAUCCCAAAUAGGGGUGUACAGCUUACACUCUUGCAUCUAAGGAUUUAUAAAACUCUUUUAAAUUUUUAGCAAAAUAACAAUAAUAAUAAGACUAGCGGAUGAAUCCUAGCCAUUGAAACCCCAGGGUGCACAUCUUACACCUAAGUUAUAGGUGUACAUGUAGCAUUACUCUUUACAAAAUAUAUUUAAUUAGGUUUUUGCAUUUGACUACCUAUUGGAAUCUGGGUUUGGGCCACUUGGAACUUCAUGCUUGCUUGCAUUGAACUUGGUUGAAGAGUUUGAUACCUUCUUUGGAGCCAACUUCAUGGAUUGUGAUGUAGAAGAUGAAGAAGAAGAAGAAGAAGAAGAUGAUGAUGAUGAUGAUGAUGAUGGAGUUGAGAACACAAGUUGUUGGGAUUUAUGAGCAAAUGGGAGCAAAAUGAGGCAAAGGAGAACACCAUGAAGCAGCACAUUUGCCAUGAACUCUAUUUUGUAGUGCAAAAGGGUUUAGUCAAUGUCCAUGAAAGAGUAUUGAGGAGAAAAGAGGGGUUGCUUGGGAAAAAUGUUAGGGCACAUGAUAUUGGAUAGGGGAGAGGUAAAAGGCCAAUACUUUGAUGACUAGGGUGUUGUCAUGUGGUAAAGAGGACAUUGAAUAGGGGUGGAGGAAGUUACAUGAGUGCCCUCCCAUUGGAUAGGAGCUUGGUUGUUAAGGCUCAUUAAUUAUGUCCACAUUAAUUUGUACUCUUUCAUGGAUUGGUGGUGUAGUAAUUGUGAGAGAGAUUUUUUUGGGGUAAAACAUGGUGAAACCCUCACUACCAUUGGAAUUUC